RNAcentral lists this ribosomal RNA (2889 nucleotides) under Escherichia coli. Its description in RNAcentral is "23S ribosomal RNA". It matches the Rfam family "Bacterial large subunit ribosomal RNA". Lineage: Bacteria; Pseudomonadati; Pseudomonadota; Gammaproteobacteria; Enterobacterales; Enterobacteriaceae. The record is from RNAcentral.
UUAAGCGACUAAGCGUACACGGUGGAUGCCCUGGCAGUCAGAGGCGAUGAAGGACGUGCUAAUCUGCGAUAAGCGUCGGUGAGGUGAUAUGAACCGUUAUAACCGGCGAUUUCCGAAUGGGGAAACCCAGUGUGUUUCGACACACUAUCAUUAACUGAAUCCAUAGGUUAAUGAGGCGAACCGGGGAACUGAAACAUCUAAGUACCCCGAGGAAAGAAAUCAACCGAGAUUCCCCAGUAGCGGCGAGCGAACGGGGAGGAGCCCAGAGCCUGAAUCAGUGUGUGUGUUAGUGGAAGCGUCUGGAAAGGCGCGCGAUACAGGGUGACAGCCCGUACACAAAAAUGCACAUAUUGUGAGCUCGAUGAGUAGGGCGGGACACGUGGUAUCCUGUCUGAAUAUGGGGGGACCAUCCUCCAAGGCUAAAUACUCCUGACUGACCGAUAGUGAACCAGUACCGUGAGGGAAAGGCGAAAAGAACCCCGGCGAGGGGAGUGAAAAAGAACCUGAAACCGUGUACGUACAAGCAGUGGGAGCCUCUUAAUGGGGUGACUGCGUACCUUUGUAUAAUGGGUCAGCGACUUAUAUUCUGUAGCAAGGUUAACCGAAUAGGGGAGCCGAAGGAAACCGAGUCUUAACUGGGCGUUAAGUUGCAGGGUAUAGACCCGAAACCCGGUGAUCUAGCCAUGGGCAGGUUGAAGGUUGGGUAACACUAACUGGAGGACCGAACCGACUAAUGUUGAAAAAUUAGCGGAUGACUUGUGGCUGGGGUGAAAGGCCAAUCAAACCGGGAGAUAGCUGGUUCUCCCGAAAGCUAUUUAGGUAGCGCCUCGUGAAUUCAUCUCCGGGGUAGAGCACUGUUUCGGCAAGGGGUCAUCCCGACUUACCAACCCGAUGCAAACUGCGAAUACCGGAGAAUGUUAUCACGGGAGACACACGGCGGGUGCUAACGUCCGUCGUGAAGAGGGAAACAACCCAGACCGCCAGCUAAGGUCCCAAAGUCAUGGUUAAGUGGGAAACGAUGUGGGAAGGCCCAGACAGCCAGGAUGUUGGCUUAGAAGCAGCCAUCAUUUAAAGAAAGCGUAAUAGCUCACUGGUCGAGUCGGCCUGCGCGGAAGAUGUAACGGGGCUAAACCAUGCACCGAAGCUGCGGCAGCGACACUAUGUGUUGUUGGGUAGGGGAGCGUUCUGUAAGCCUGUGAAGGUGUACUGUGAGGUAUGCUGGAGGUAUCAGAAGUGCGAAUGCUGACAUAAGUAACGAUAAAGCGGGUGAAAAGCCCGCUCGCCGGAAGACCAAGGGUUCCUGUCCAACGUUAAUCGGGGCAGGGUGAGUCGACCCCUAAGGCGAGGCCGAAAGGCGUAGUCGAUGGGAAACAGGUUAAUAUUCCUGUACUUGGUGUUACUGCGAAGGGGGGACGGAGAAGGCUAUGUUGGCCGGGCGACGGUUGUCCCGGUUUAAGCGUGUAGGCUGGUUUUCCAGGCAAAUCCGGAAAAUCAAGGCUGAGGCGUGAUGACGAGGCACUACGGUGCUGAAGCGACAAAUGCCCUGCUUCCAGGAAAAGCCUCUAAGCAUCAGGUAACAUCAAAUCGUACCCCAAACCGACACAGGUGGUCAGGUAGAGAAUACCAAGGCGCUUGAGAGAACUCGGGUGAAGGAACUAGGCAAAAUGGUGCCGUAACUUCGGGAGAAGGCACGCUGAUAUGUAGGUGAAGCGACUUGCUCGUGGAGCUGAAAUCAGUCGAAGAUACCAGCUGGCUGCAACUGUUUAUUAAAAACACAGCACUGUGCAAACACGAAAGUGGACGUAUACGGUGUGACGCCUGCCCGGUGCCGGAAGGUUAAUUGAUGGGGUUAGCGGUAACGCGAAGCUCUUGAUCGAAGCCCCGGUAAACGGCGGCCGUAACUAUAACGGUCCUAAGGUAGCGAAAUUCCUUGUCGGGUAAGUUCCGACCUGCACGAAUGGCGUAAUGAUGGCGAGGCUGUCUCCACCCGAGACUCAGUGAAAUUGAACUCGCUGUGAAGAUGCAGUGUACCGCGGCAAGACGGAAAGACCCCGUGAACCUUUACUAUAGCUUGACACUGAACAUUGAGCCUUGAUGUGUAGGAUAGGUGGGAGGCUUUGAAGUGUGGACGCCAGUCUGCAUGGAGCCGACCUUGAAAUACCACCCUUUAAUGUUUGAUGUUCUAACGUGGGCCCCUUACCGGGGUUGCGGACAGUGUCUGGUGGGUAGUUUGACUGGGGCGGUCUCCUCCUAAAGAGUAACGGAGGAGCACGAAGGUUGGCUAAUCCUGGUCGGACAUCAGGAGGUUAGUGCAAUGGCAUAAGCCAGCUUGACUGCGAGCGUGACGGCGCGAGCAGGUGCGAAAGCAGGUCAUAGUGAUCCGGUGGUUCUGAAUGGAAGGGCCAUCGCUCAACGGAUAAAAGGUACUCCGGGGAUAACAGGCUGAUACCGCCCAAGAGUUCAUAUCGACGGCGGUGUUUGGCACCUCGAUGUCGGCUCAUCACAUCCGGGGCUGAAGUAGGUCCCAAGGGUAUGGCUGUUCGCCAUUUAAAGUGGUACGCGAGCUGGGUUUAGAACGUCGUGAGACAGUUCGGUCCCUAUCUGCCGUGGGCGCUGGAGAACUGAGGGGGGCUGCUCCUAGUACGAGAGGACCGGAGUGGACGCAUCACUGGUGUUCGGGUUGUCAUGCCAAUGGCACUGCCCGGUAGCUAAAUGCGGAAGAGAUAAGUGCUGAAAGCAUCUAAGCACGAAACUUGCCCCGAGAUGAGUUCUCCCUGACUCCUUGAGAGUCCUGAAGGAACGUUGAAGACGACGACGUUGAUAGGCCGGGUGUGUAAGCGCAGCGAUGCGUUGAGCUAACCGGUACUAAUGAACCGUGAGGCUUAACCU